GUUUGGUCAGCGGACACCUGGGGUUAAAUGCGUUGUACUGUAGCUUUAUAGGUUCGGUCAGCGGACACCUGGGGUUAAAUGCGUUGUACUGUAGCUUUACAGGUUCGGUCAGCGGACACCUGGGGUUAAAUGCGUCGUACUGUAGCUUUACAGGUUCGGUUAGAUAAGGUAAAGUUGUGCCCUGCUGCUGGCGUUCCCUAGUCAAUGCCAGUCACUUGGAGUUAGACAUGCCUUGCUUCUGUCACCGGUCACAUGGGUUAGACUUUGUCUUACAGGUGUGGUUAGCGCACACCUGGGGUUAGAAAGAUGUGCCUUGUUUUUACUGUCUUACAGGUGUGGUCAGCGAGCAGUGCGUGCGUUGCGCUUGUAGGAAGUCCUUUACGGUUCCCAAGUGCGGCGUGCAAUCUGUCAGCGCACACCUGGGGUUAGACGUGCGUCAC
Molecule: long non-coding RNA, 440 nt
Organism: Clupea harengus (Atlantic herring)
Lineage: Eukaryota; Metazoa; Chordata; Actinopteri; Clupeiformes; Clupeidae
Source: Ensembl